AUUACCUUUAGUAACGGCGAGUGAAGCGGUAAGAGCUCAAAUUUGAAAUCUAGCACUUUCAGUGUUCGAGUUGUAAUUUGAAGAAGGUAACUUUGGAGUUGGCCCUUGUCUAUGUUCCUUGGAACAGGACGUCACAGAGGGUGAGAAUCCCGUGCGAUGGGGUGUCCAACUCUAUGUAAAGUGCUUUCGAAGAGUCGAGUUGUUUGGGAAUGCAGCUCUAAGUGGGUGGUAAAUUCCAUCUAAAGCUAAAUAUUGGCGAGAGACCGAUAGCGAACAAGUACAGUGAUGGAAAGAUGAAAAGAACUUUGAAAAGAGAGUGAAAAAGUACGUGAAAUUGUUGAAAGGGAAGGGCUUUAGAUCAGACUUGGUGUUUAGUACUCUUCACUCCUUGUGGGUGGAGCUCUUGCUUUAUACUGGGCCAGCAUCGGUUUGGAUGGUAGGAUAAUAGCAUUGGAACGUGGCUUCGCUUCGGUGGAGUGUUAUAGCCUUUGUUGAUACUACCUAUCUAGACCGAGGACUGCGUCUUUGACCUAGGAAUGCCGC
Molecule: ribosomal RNA, 543 nt
Filed under: Peterozyma xylosa
Lineage: Eukaryota; Fungi; Ascomycota; Pichiomycetes; Alaninales; Pachysolenaceae
Description: LSU rRNA
Rfam family: Eukaryotic large subunit ribosomal RNA
Source: RNAcentral